UUUAUGGAGAGUUUGAUCCUGGCUCAGGAUGAACGCUGGCGGCGUGCCUAAUACAUGCAAGUCGAGCGAACGGACGAGAAGCUUGCUUCUCUGAUGUUAGCGGCGGACGGGUGAGUAACACGUGGAUAACCUACCUAUAAGACUGGGAUAACUUCGGGAAACCGUAGCUAAUACCGGAUAAUAUUUUGAACCGCAUGGUUCAAAAGUGAAAGACGGUCUUGCUGUCACUUAUAGAUGGAUCCGCGCUGCAUUAGCUAGUUGGUAAGGUAACGGCUUACCAAGGCAACGAUGCAUAGCCGACCUGAGAGGGUGAUCGGCCACACUGGAACUGAGACACGGUCCAGACUCCUACGGGAGGCAGCAGUAGGGAAUCUUCCGCAAUGGGCGAAAGCCUGACGGAGCAACGCCGCGUGAGUGAUGAAGGUCUUCGGAUCGUAAAACUCUGUUAUUAGGGAAGAACAUAUGUGUAAGUAACUGUGCACAUCUUGACGGUACCUAAUCAGAAAGCCACGGCUAACUACGUGCCAGCAGCCGCGGUAAUACGUAGGUGGCAAGCGUUAUCCGGAAUUAUUGGGCGUAAAGCGCGCGUAGGCGGUUUUUUAAGUCUGAUGUGAAAGCCCACGGCUCAACCGUGGAGGGUCAUUGGAAACUGGAAAACUUGAGUGCAGAAGAGGAAAGUGGAAUUCCAUGUGUAGCGGUGAAAUGCGCAGAGAUAUGGAGGAACACCAGUGGCGAAGGCGACUUUCUGGUCUGUAACUGACGCUGAUGUGCGAAAGCGUGGGGAUCAAACAGGAUUAGAUACCCUGGUAGUCCACGCCGUAAACGAUGAGUGCUAAGUGUUAGGGGGUUUCCGCCCCUUAGUGCUGCAGCUAACGCAUUAAGCACUCCGCCUGGGGAGUACGACCGCAAGGUUGAAACUCAAAGGAAUUGACGGGGACCCGCACAAGCGGUGGAGCAUGUGGUUUAAUUCGAAGCAACGCGAAGAACCUUACCAAAUCUUGACAUCCUUUGACAACUCUAGAGAUAGAGCCUUCCCCUUCGGGGGACAAAGUGACAGGUGGUGCAUGGUUGUCGUCAGCUCGUGUCGUGAGAUGUUGGGUUAAGUCCCGCAACGAGCGCAACCCUUAAGCUUAGUUGCCAUCAUUAAGUUGGGCACUCUAAGUUGACUGCCGGUGACAAACCGGAGGAAGGUGGGGAUGACGUCAAAUCAUCAUGCCCCUUAUGAUUUGGGCUACACACGUGCUACAAUGGACAAUACAAAGGGCAGCGAAACCGCGAGGUCAAGCAAAUCCCAUAAAGUUGUUCUCAGUUCGGAUUGUAGUCUGCAACUCGACUACAUGAAGCUGGAAUCGCUAGUAAUCGUAGAUCAGCAUGCUACGGUGAAUACGUUCCCGGGUCUUGUACACACCGCCCGUCACACCACGAGAGUUUG
Molecule: ribosomal RNA, 1432 nt
Filed under: Staphylococcus aureus
Lineage: Bacteria; Bacillati; Bacillota; Bacilli; Caryophanales; Staphylococcaceae
Description: bacterial SSU rRNA
Rfam family: Bacterial small subunit ribosomal RNA
Source: RNAcentral